Molecule: ribosomal RNA, 253 nt
Filed under: uncultured bacterium
Lineage: Bacteria
Description: partial 16S ribosomal RNA
Rfam family: Bacterial small subunit ribosomal RNA
Source: RNAcentral
UACGGAGGAUCCAAGCGUUAUCCGGAUUUAUUGGGUUUAAAGGGUGCGUAGGCGGCUUAUUAAGUCAGGGGUGAAAGACGGUGGCUCAACCAUCGCAGUGCCUUUGAUACUGAUGAGCUUGAAUACACUUGAGGUAGGCGGAAUGUGACAAGUAGCGGUGAAAUGCAUAGAUAUGUUACAGAACACCAAUUGCGAAGGCAGCUUACUAAGGUGCAAUUGACGCUGAGGCACGAAAGCGUGGGGAUCAAACAGG